CUUGUUAAGUUUGAUGGCGACCGGCGCACGGGUGAGUAACACGUAUCCAACCUGCCGAUGACUCGGGGAUAGCCUUUCGAAAGAAAGAUUAAUACCCGAUGGCAUAGUUCUUCCGCAUGGUGGAACUAUUAAAGAAUUUCGGUCAUCGAUGGGGAUGCGUUCCAUUAGGUUGUUGGCGGGGUAACGGCCCACCAAGCCUUCGAUGGAUAGGGGUUCUGAGAGGAAGGUCCCCCACAUUGGAACUGAGACACGGUCCAAACUCCUACGGGAGGCAGCAUG
This 279-nucleotide ribosomal RNA is filed under the name uncultured bacterium. Its description in RNAcentral is "partial 16S ribosomal RNA". It matches the Rfam family "Bacterial small subunit ribosomal RNA", at positions 76 to 353 of the family's 1533-position model. The record is from RNAcentral.